CCCUUAGAUGUUCUGGGCCGCACGCGUGCUACACUGAGUAAUUCAAUGGGUAAGGGAACGCUAGAGCAUUACCUAAUCUUGAAAUUUGCUCGUGAUGGGGAUCGACGGUUGCAAUUUUCCGUCGUGAACGAGGAAUACCUUGUAGGCGCAUGUCAUCAUCAUGCGCCGAAUACGUCCCUGCCCUUUGUACACACCGCCCGUCGCUACUACCGAUUGGAUGGUUUAGUGAGAUCCUCGGAUUGGUCCCAGCGCGGCCUCUGGUCGUGCCGGAGUGCCGAAAAGAAUGUCGAACUUGAUCAUCUAGAGGAAGUAAAAGUCGUAACA
Molecule: ribosomal RNA, 324 nt
Filed under: uncultured eukaryote
Lineage: Eukaryota
Description: partial 18S ribosomal RNA
Rfam family: Eukaryotic small subunit ribosomal RNA
Source: RNAcentral